This 715-nucleotide ribosomal RNA is filed under the name uncultured bacterium. Its description in RNAcentral is "bacterial SSU rRNA". It matches the Rfam family "Bacterial small subunit ribosomal RNA", at positions 54 to 749 of the family's 1533-position model. The record is from RNAcentral.
CAUGCAAGUCGAGCGGAGAUUUGAAAAGCUUGCUUUUCAAAUCUUAGCGGCGGACGGGUGAGUAACACGUGGGCAACCUGCCCUUGAGACGGGGAUAACUCCGGGAAACCGGAGCUAAUACCGGAUAACACAUAUCUUCGCAUGAUGAUAUGUUAGAAGGUGGCUUUUAGCUACCACUCAAGGAUGGGCCCGCGGCGCAUUAGCUAGUUGGUGAGGUAACGGCUCACCAAGGCGACGAUGCGUAGCCGACCUGAGAGGGUGAUCGGCCACACUGGGACUGAGACACGGCCCAGACUCCUACGGGAGGCAGCAGUAGGGAAUCUUCCGCAAUGGACGAAAGUCUGACGGAGCAACGCCGCGUGAGUGAUGAAGGUUUUCGGAUCGUAAAGCUCUGUUGUUAGGGAAGAACAAGUAUCUGUUGAAUAAGCAGGUACCUUGACGGUACCUAACCAGAAAGCCACGGCUAACUACGUGCCAGCAGCCGCGGUAAUACGUAGGUGGCAAGCGUUGUCCGGAAUUAUUGGGCGUAAAGCGCGCGCAGGCGGUUCCUUAAGUCUGAUGUGAAAGCCCACGGCUCAACCGUGGAGGGUCAUUGGAAACUGGGGAACUUGAGUGCAGAAGAGGAGAGCGGAAUUCCACGUGUAGCGGUGAAAUGCGUAGAGAUGUGGAGGAACACCAGUGGCGAAGCGGCUCUCUGGUCUGUAACUGACGCUGA